Non-coding RNA from Labrus bergylta (ballan wrasse), 502 nucleotides. Lineage: Eukaryota; Metazoa; Chordata; Actinopteri; Labriformes; Labridae. The record is from RefSeq and is a predicted model, not a curated record.
GUUUGAACAGACAUCAAAACUGGAGGACAACAUGGCCAUUGAAGCAGCAUGGCAGCGCUUGAAUCCUUCCCUGCACUCUGGUACAGAGAAAAUUAAGUGUAGAGCCAUGGGACCUGGAGCUGGUGACUUGCAGCUAGACAUGGGCAACGCUGGGUGCCUGCCUUUGAUUGAGGUGCCCAAGACCUGGCCCUGAUCCAACAAAGCCAACAACUGCAUCUUCCCCUUCCAACUGCUCAAAUGACAAAGCCCAGCAAAUAACCAGGGCCUGUGAGUCCAUUUGUGCCUUACUACCAGGAACCAUUUAUUCCAUGUAUUUUGUACAAAUCCAGUAAGGCAGGUAAACAUCCAGGCCAGAAAUUAAUGCCCCAAACUGGCUACAAAUCUGGACUCCAGACUCGGUCGCACCUACAUCCAGGCUUCAACUACUGGUAAAAAUCUGUGCCAUAAUAACUCCAAAGGUUCUGUCCUACUACUGGGCAACAAUAAAAUGGUUUAACCUUAA